RNAcentral lists this transfer RNA (73 nucleotides) under Camelus bactrianus (Bactrian camel). It matches the Rfam family "tRNA". Rfam says of the family: Transfer RNA (tRNA) molecules are approximately 80 nucleotides in length. Their secondary structure includes four short double-helical elements and three loops (D, anti-codon, and T loops). Further hydrogen bonds mediate the characteristic L-shaped molecular structure. tRNAs have two regions of fundamental functional importance: the anti-codon, which is responsible for specific mRNA codon recognition, and the 3' end, to which the tRNAs corresponding amino acid is attached (by aminoacyl-tRNA synthetases). tRNAs cope with the degeneracy of the genetic code in two manners: having more than one tRNA (with a specific anti-codon) for a particular amino acid; and 'wobble' base-pairing, i.e. permitting non-standard base-pairing at the 3rd anti-codon position. RNAcentral also lists the same sequence under 2 other names. Lineage: Eukaryota; Metazoa; Chordata; Mammalia; Artiodactyla; Camelidae. The record is from Rfam by way of RNAcentral.
GAGGGUAUAGCUCAAGUGGCAAAAUGUGUGCUUAGCAUGCACAAGGUUCUGGGUUAAAUCCCCAUUACCCCCG